GACGAAGGGGGCUAGCGUUGUUCGGAAUUACUGGGCGUAAAGCGCGUGUAGGCGGUUGUUCAGGUCAGGUGUGAAAGCCUUGAGCUCGACUCAAGAAAUGCACUUGAUACUGGAUGACUAGAGGACCGGAGAGGAUAGUGGAAUUCCCAGUGUAGUGGUGAAAUACGUAGAGAUUGGGAAGAACACCAGUGGCGAAGGCGGCUAUCUGGACGGUUUCUGACGCUAAGACGCGAAAGCGUGGGGAGCAAACAGG
This 253-nucleotide ribosomal RNA is filed under the name uncultured bacterium. Its description in RNAcentral is "partial 16S ribosomal RNA". It matches the Rfam family "Bacterial small subunit ribosomal RNA", at positions 524 to 776 of the family's 1533-position model. The record is from RNAcentral.